GAUGAAGAACGUAGCGAAAUGCGAUACGUAAUGUGAAUUGCAGAAUCCAGUGAAUCAUCGAGUCUUUGAACGCACAUUGCGCCCCCUGGUAUUCCGGGGGGCAUGCCUGUCCGAGCGUCAUUGCUGCCCUCAAGCACGGCUUGUGUGUUGGGCCUCCGUCCUCCUCCCGGGGGACGGGCCCGAAAGGCAGCGGCGGCACCGCGUCCGGUCCUCGAGCGUAUGGGGCUUCGUCACCCGCUCUUGUAGGCCCGGCCGGCGCUUGCCGACACAUCAAUCUUUUUUCCAGGUUGACCUCGGAUCAGGUAGGGAUACCCGCUGAACUUAAGCAUAUCAAUAAGCGGAGGA
Molecule: unclassified non-coding RNA, 345 nt
Filed under: soil metagenome
Description: partial contains 5.8S ribosomal RNA, internal transcribed spacer 2, and large subunit ribosomal RNA
Rfam family: 5.8S ribosomal RNA (bases 1-120)
Source: RNAcentral